This 254-nucleotide ribosomal RNA is filed under the name uncultured bacterium. RNAcentral describes it as "partial 16S ribosomal RNA". It matches the Rfam family "Bacterial small subunit ribosomal RNA", at positions 524 to 776 of the family's 1533-position model. The record is from RNAcentral.
UACAGAGGAGCCAAGCGUUGUCCGGAUUGACUGGGCGUAAAGCGCACGCAGGCGGUUGCGCGCGUGGGGUGUGAAAUCUGGCCGCUUAACGGCCAGGCGCCAUCCCAUACGGCGCGACUGGAGUGAUGCAGAGGUCGAUGGAAUUGCCGGUGUACUGGUGAAAUGCGUAGAGAUCGGCAGGAACACCCAGGGGGGAAACCAGUCGACUGGGCAUCUACUGACGCUGAGGUGCGAGAGCGUGGGGAGCGAACCGG